Molecule: ribosomal RNA, 677 nt
Filed under: Allium cepa (onion)
Lineage: Eukaryota; Viridiplantae; Streptophyta; Magnoliopsida; Asparagales; Amaryllidaceae
Description: eukaryotic LSU rRNA
Rfam family: 5.8S ribosomal RNA (bases 254-409)
Source: RNAcentral
GGAAGGAUCAUUGUAGAGUUCCUUCUCGAACAACUGUGAAAUUGUACUCAUACCCGUCGAGAACUACGUAUUUGUGCGGUUAGCACUUGCGUUGUUUGGAUGGGUUUCAUUUGCUGCCUUCAUGUUUGCUUCAAUUGAAGUAAGAUGUAGAGUAGAACUAAGAAACCGGCACGGUUUGUGCCAAGGACAGUUGUUGUUGGAGAGCUUGCCAUCAUUUUGAUGUGCUUCGUGUUAUUCCAGUGAGCGUCUGAAUGACUCCUGGCAAUGGAUAUCUUGGCUCUCGUGUCGAUGAAGAACGUAGCGAAAUGCGACACUUGGUGUGAAUUGCAGAAUCCCGUGAACCAUCGAGUCUUUGAAUGCAAGUUGCGCUCGAGGCCAUUAGGUUGAGAGCACGUCUGUUUGGGCGUCAUGCCUUGCGUCAUUCUAACCAUCCACCUACUGUAAACAUACUGUGAGUGAUGGCGGAUGUGGAGAUUGACCCUCCGUGCCUUAAUUGUGCGGUUGGUUUAAGUGAAUGUUGUCGUUAGGUCUACGCGCGGCGAAUGGUGUAUCGAGUUAACACACGAUGUCUCUAACCGCGUCCAGGAGUCCUACGAACGAUGUAACAAUAACUGAAACCAUUUUCGACGUUUGCCUUAGUUGCAAGCUCGGAACAUGACCUCAGAUCAGGUGGGGCA